Molecule: long non-coding RNA, 672 nt
Organism: Triticum aestivum (bread wheat)
Lineage: Eukaryota; Viridiplantae; Streptophyta; Magnoliopsida; Poales; Poaceae
Exons: 6
Source: RefSeq, a predicted model, not a curated record
AGAGGUUGUUAGAGUUUUUCAUGUCAUCGACAACUCUGCGUCACUAGUAGAUUGGGGUGUUCGGCUGCCACCCUUGUCUCCGCCGUGGCCAUCCUCCUCUUCAUCUGUUCCACAACGUCCAUGGCUUAAACAAGGUUGCACGUGCAGGUACAACUCAUGGACGCCAAGGAGAAUGAUGCCUUAGACUAGUCUGAGAAGCCAUCGCUGCCCUUGGAUGUUCCUGCCGACAAAGACGGGCACAUGGUGACACAAGAUUGGGCUACUCAGCCAACGGUAAGUGGCGGUGUACUUCAUCACAGCCUUCCGUUUUCGAAAACAUCAGUCAAUCCUUCGUUAAGUGAGCAUAAUGGACAUCAAUGACCCAACCAUGCCCAUAAUGGCCAUACAGUACAACAAGGCAUCCUCGUUGGUCUAUGUUGCAAAUGGGCUGCAGCACUUUCCAUGCUUUCAAGCCGAAGGACUUCACUCCGAGGGCAUACUCUACAAGCAAUACAAAUUCAGAGAGACACGAUGAAAUCAAGUCAAAAUCAACCGAUUGUCUUAGACCCUUUUGCACAUGGACAUUUGAGAGCACUCUACUCUUUAGUCUGUUGGAACAAAGUUAUGAUGUUUCCGUUUCACACAAGAAAUCAAUUGCAAGAAGAUCAUGACAGCAGCUUGUCAUGUAAGGUA